RNAcentral lists this ribosomal RNA (1399 nucleotides) under Klebsiella sp. Its description in RNAcentral is "bacterial SSU rRNA". It matches the Rfam family "Bacterial small subunit ribosomal RNA". Lineage: Bacteria; Pseudomonadati; Pseudomonadota; Gammaproteobacteria; Enterobacterales; Enterobacteriaceae. The record is from RNAcentral.
GGCUACACAUGCAGUCGAGCGGUAGCACAGAGAGCUUGCUCUCGGGUGACGAGCGGCGGACGGGUGAGUAAUGUCUGGGAAACUGCCUGAUGGAGGGGGAUAACUACUGGAAACGGUAGCUAAUACCGCAUAACGUCGCAAGACCAAAGUGGGGGACCUUCGGGCCUCAUGCCAUCAGAUGUGCCCAGAUGGGAUUAGCUAGUAGGUGGGGUAACGGCUCACCUAGGCGACGAUCCCUAGCUGGUCUGAGAGGAUGACCAGCCACACUGGAACUGAGACACGGUCCAGACUCCUACGGGAGGCAGCAGUGGGGAAUAUUGCACAAUGGGCGCAAGCCUGAUGCAGCCAUGCCGCGUGUAUGAAGAAGGCCUUCGGGUUGUAAAGUACUUUCAGCGGGGAGGAAGGCGAUAAGGUUAAUAACCUUGUCGAUUGACGUUACCCGCAGAAGAAGCACCGGCUAACUCCGUGCCAGCAGCCGCGGUAAUACGGAGGGUGCAAGCGUUAAUCGGAAUUACUGGGCGUAAAGCGCACGCAGGCGGUCUGUCAAGUCGGAUGUGAAAUCCCCGGGCUCAACCUGGGAACUGCAUUCGAAACUGGCAGGCUAGAGUCUUGUAGAGGGGGGUAGAAUUCCAGGUGUAGCGGUGAAAUGCGUAGAGAUCUGGAGGAAUACCGGUGGCGAAGGCGGCCCCCUGGACAAAGACUGACGCUCAGGUGCGAAAGCGUGGGGAGCAAACAGGAUUAGAUACCCUGGUAGUCCACGCCGUAAACGAUGUCGAUUUGGAGGUUGUGCCCUUGAGGCGUGGCUUCCGGAGCUAACGCGUUAAAUCGACCGCCUGGGGAGUACGGCCGCAAGGUUAAAACUCAAAUGAAUUGACGGGGGCCCGCACAAGCGGUGGAGCAUGUGGUUUAAUUCGAUGCAACGCGAAGAACCUUACCUGGUCUUGACAUCCACAGAACUUACCAGAGAUGGCUUGGUGCCUUCGGGAACUGUGAGACAGGUGCUGCAUGGCUGUCGUCAGCUCGUGUUGUGAAAUGUUGGGUUAAGUCCCGCAACGAGCGCAACCCUUAUCCUUUGUUGCCAGCGGUUCGGCCGGGAACUCAAAGGAGACUGCCAGUGAUAAACUGGAGGAAGGUGGGGAUGACGUCAAGUCAUCAUGGCCCUUACGACCAGGGCUACACACGUGCUACAAUGGCAUAUACAAAGAGAAGCGACCUCGCGAGAGCAAGCGGACCUCAUAAAGUAUGUCGUAGUCCGGAUUGGAGUCUGCAACUCGACUCCAUGAAGUCGGAAUCGCUAGUAAUCGUAGAUCAGAAUGCUACGGUGAAUACGUUCCCGGGCCUUGUACACACCGCCCGUCACACCAUGGGAGUGGGUUGCAAAAGAAGUAGGUAGCUUAAC